This 209-nucleotide ribosomal RNA is filed under the name uncultured bacterium. Its description in RNAcentral is "partial 16S ribosomal RNA". It matches the Rfam family "Bacterial small subunit ribosomal RNA", at positions 568 to 774 of the family's 1533-position model. The record is from RNAcentral.
UGCGCAGGCGGUUUUGUAAGACAGUGGUGAAAUCCCCGGGCUCAACCUGGGAACUGCCAUUGUGACUGCAAGGCUGGAGUGCGGCAGAGGGGGAGUGGAAUUCCGCGUGUAGCAGUGAAAUGCGUAGAUAUGCGGAGGAACACCGAUGGCGAAGGCAAUCCCCUCGGGCCUGCACUGACGCUCAUGCACGAAAGCGUGGGGAGCAAACA